UCCGUAGGUGAACCUGCGGAAGGAUCAUUACUGAAUCGUCGACACGAGUUGUUGCUGGCCUUCAAACGGGGGCAUGUGCACACUCUGUUUGCAUCCACUCACACCUGUGCACCCUUUGUAGUUCUGCGGCAUGGGAGAUCCCGUCUCCCUUCCACGGUUCUGCGUCUUUACACACACACAGUAACAUGGUCUUAUGGAAUGUAAGCGGCGUUUAACGCAAUACAAUACAACUUUCAGCAACGGAUCUCUUGGCUCUCGCAUCGAUGAAGAACGCAGCGAAAUGCGAUAAGUAAUGUGAAUUGCAGAAUUCAGUGAAUCAUCGAAUCUUUGAACGCACCUUGCGCCCUUUGGCUAUUCCGAAGGGCAUGCCUGUUUGAGUAUCGUGAACACCUCAACUCCUCAUGGUUUGCCGUGAUGAGCUUGGACUUUGGAGGUUUUGCUGGCCCACGGUCUGCUCCUCUCAAAUGAAUUAGCUUGCCAGUGCAUGGCGGCGCCACAGGUGUGAUAACUAUCUGCGCUUGUGGUUGCAUGCCAGGUAACCUUCAGUACUGAAGGUUUGCUGGAGCUCAUAAAUGUCUCUCCUCAGUGAAGACAGCUUUUGAACGUUUGAUCUCAAAUCAGGUAGGACUACCCGCUGAACUUAAGCAUAUCAAUAAGCGGAGGAAAAGAAACUAACAAGGAUUCCCCUAGUAACUGCGAGUGAAGCGGGAAGAGCUCAAAUUUAAAAUCUGGCGUGCCUCUG
RNAcentral lists this ribosomal RNA (742 nucleotides) under uncultured Tomentella. Its description in RNAcentral is "eukaryotic LSU rRNA". The stretch from base 229 to 383 matches the Rfam family "5.8S ribosomal RNA". Lineage: Eukaryota; Fungi; Basidiomycota; Agaricomycetes; Thelephorales; Thelephoraceae. The record is from RNAcentral.